GACCCCCGCUGGCUGUGAGGCAGUUGUGGCGAUUGUGAGGCAGCUGACGGAGACGUAAUUCGCAUCAGGCGCCAUCGUACAACGCGCCAACGAUGCAUGAUGCCAUCAACUAGUUACCAGAAAGUCGGCGGGGAACGCGGCAUCCGAACGUGCACACAAUUAGACCCCCGCCGUGAGAUGUGUCGGUGGCUGUGAGGCAGUUGUGGGGACAUGUCUGGCAGGCUGACAGGGCUUCCAGAGGCAUAAACCGCAUCAGCCACCGUCGUACGCCUGACCACGAUGCAUGAUGCCAUCAACUAGUUGCAAAAAGGCGGCGGGGAACACGGCUUGAUGAGUCACGCUCGCUAAGCAACCAUCAUGGGGAAGGGAUGUAAAACCGUCCUCCUCUCGGAUGGGUCGAACUACUCCCAGUGGCUUGGCGACUUAGGCGAUUUCCUUGCGACGACCAAGUUGAAGA
RNAcentral lists this long non-coding RNA (457 nucleotides) under Volvox carteri. RNAcentral's name for it is "long non-coding RNA (VCAR_LNC003792)". The record is from RNAcentral. Lineage: Eukaryota; Viridiplantae; Chlorophyta; Chlorophyceae; Chlamydomonadales; Volvocaceae.